Molecule: ribosomal RNA, 253 nt
Filed under: uncultured bacterium
Lineage: Bacteria
Description: partial 16S ribosomal RNA
Rfam family: Bacterial small subunit ribosomal RNA
Source: RNAcentral
UACGUAGGCAGCGAGCGUUGUUCGGAGUUACUGGGCGUAAAGAGUGCGUAGGCGGUUUUCUAAGUUUGGUGUGAAAUCCCCGGGCUUAACCUGGGAACUGCAUUUGGGACUGGAAGGCUAGAGUAUGGCAGAGGGGGGUGGAAUUCCACGUGUAGCAGUGAAAUGCGUAGAGAUGUGGAGGAACACCGAUGGCGAAGGCAGCCCCCUGGGCCUAUACUGACGCUCAUGCACGAAAGCGUGGGGAGCAAACAGG